RNAcentral lists this ribosomal RNA (246 nucleotides) under uncultured bacterium. RNAcentral describes it as "partial 16S ribosomal RNA". It matches the Rfam family "Bacterial small subunit ribosomal RNA", at positions 118 to 345 of the family's 1533-position model. The record is from RNAcentral.
UGGGUAAUGUACCUUUCAGCGGGGGACAACCGUCCGAAAGGAUGGCUAAUACCGCAUACGUCGGCGAGGGCUCCGGUCCUUGUCGGGAAAGAUGGCCUCUCCUUGGAAGCUGUCACUGGAAGAUCAACCCGCGGCCCAUCAGCUAGUUGGUGAGGUAACGGCUCACCAAGGCGACGACGGGCAGCUGGUCUGAGAGGACCGACCAGCCACACUGGAACUGAGACACGGUCCAGACUCCGUAACGGG